This 1731-nucleotide ribosomal RNA is filed under the name Triticum aestivum (bread wheat). Its description in RNAcentral is "partial small subunit ribosomal RNA". Lineage: Eukaryota; Viridiplantae; Streptophyta; Magnoliopsida; Poales; Poaceae. The record is from RNAcentral.
AAUGCUGAACAGGGAGACAAAAAUACCGAGGCAUACUCCACACCGAAACCUCCUGAUGAAACGAUGAAGUUUGAUACUUUUGAGGAAGCUUAUGAACACUACAGGCAAUAUGCACUGAGACAUGGGUUUGGAAUGAGACUGGAAUACAGAAAAACAAUUAAAGACAAUACUGUAAGUAGAGUCCUCUUGGUUUGUGGGAAAUACGGCAAGCCAAAAACAAACAAGGAGGAGACAGAGGAUGUGCAGGACCCAAAAGGCAUCGUGAAGAAGAGGAAAAGAGGGAAGGUUAUGAGGUCGGGAUGUCCGGCCCACCUUUACAUCACCCACACGGACGCGUGGUGGAGAGUCAAACGCUUCAACGACGACCACAACAACCCUCUAAUAAGAAAGUCGUCCUUGACAAAGUUCCUAUCAACACAUAGGAACAUUCCAAAAGAUGAGCAGGACUUCUUGAAGAUAUUGCAUGGAUGCAACAUAGAGACAGCAAGACAAAUGCAACUAAUGGAAUGGUUCUAUGGGAAUCCUAAAGAUGUACCAUACACAACAAAGGACAUCGCAAACUAGCGAGCUAAAUUCCGGAUGGAGUACCGCCAUGCUGAUGUGGGGAGCACAAUCUCGUACUUCCAAGAUAUGAAGGCACAAGAUCCAGAUUUCUAUUGGAGAAUAAAGCUUGAUGAUGAGGACAGAGCGUAUGACCAGACUGACAAUGAGCAUUUCCAAUGGCUGUGGGAGAACAGGAAGUGUUGGGUCCCGGUAUACUAUAUGCAUGAUUUUUUCCCGUUCUUGCAGACCACGGCAAGAAGCGAGGGUUUUAACUCUGUGCUCAAGAAGUAUGUCAACCCAAACAACUCACUGGUCGAAUUCGCACAAUAGUUCACUACAAUACAGGAUAAGGUGAUGGCUAGCUCAAAAGAGCAAUUGGAAAUAGUGUACAAAGAAACCAAAAUGUACUCGAUGAACCCGCUGGAGAUGCAGGUGCGGGGGCUGUACACACAUAACUUGUUUUGCAAGUUCCAGGUGGAGAUGAAGGUGAAAUCAGCAUACAGAUGCGACGCAUUGGAUGAUGGUACUUUCAAGGUCAGCUCAGUGCGGGGGAUAAUACCAAAAUAUGGAGACAGGGACUACCAUGUGCAAGCAAAAAUGGAUGAAGAGACAUACUCGUGCAGUUGCUGCAAGCUUGAUCGUGACGGGCUACUGUGCGCGCACGUACUAUGAGUUAUGGGCCAAAUUGGGUUAUACGAGAUACCUGAAAAGUACAUCCUAAAGAGGUGGACCUGGGAUCCAGAGGAGGAUCUUAUUCAACCUAAUUUCGAACAGUCGACAGUUAAGAAGUUGGUGUCAGAGGAGGGGAAAAGCGUCAUGCGAUACACGUCAAUUCUUAAAGAAUUUAAGGCAUCAGCCAAAGUCGCUUGCCUAACAGAUGACGGGACCAGAUUGGCAAGAAAACACCUGUAUAAUUUCAAGGAGGAGCUUGAAACCCUGAAGAACAAUCGACUUAAAAAAGCAAGAAAGGAAAAGGAAGAAGCAAAAGGAUCGUUUCAAGGACAGUCGGAUCCCUGCUCGAUACCUAUAGGGCGGAUGAAUGAAGACAACCCCGUCACACAGCACCAAAACGCCCCCGUUGCAAGACAUCCGGAGAACCCAGCCACACAGCAAACAAGUGCCACUAAUGUGCAGCAACAAGAGAACCCCGCCACACAACAAGAAAGUGCUACUAAUAUGCAGCGAUAG